Sarcophilus harrisii (Tasmanian devil) is the source of this 1239-nucleotide long non-coding RNA. RefSeq lists it as uncharacterized. NCBI's taxonomy places the organism in Eukaryota, Metazoa, Chordata, Mammalia, Dasyuromorphia, Dasyuridae. The transcript is spliced from 7 exons. The record is from RefSeq and is a predicted model, not a curated record.
CCUAGGGAGGAUGUUCUGCGGCCUUUGUAUGGCUGACUGCUUCCUGGGCUGACUGCUACCCAGUCUGAGUGGUAACAAUUGAGGUGGUGGUGGAUUCAUUUGCAGGCAUGAAACGGAUUCUGCCCCAAUUUCAGAGGGGGCAGAGAAACCCAAUCCAUUUUCUUGCUAGGUGAAGCAGUUCGGGGCAAGGGUAGAGCCAGAGCGAAUCUGCACUAUAUCUGGGAAUCCCAAUGACCUUCAGCCCUUACAGAUGACUGAUAUAGGCCAACCUUUCAGUCGGUUGUGUAAAGAACUUGCAUUGCCACCACCAAGGCAAAUCGAAUCCGUCUCUUAUUCUGGAGUUCAAAAACGUAUAAUUGAAGUAGAGAGAACUUAGGAGGGGAACACUUAGAAAGAUAAUUGGAUAAUCACAAAGAGCCUUGAAAGUGUCUCUCCAAUUACUGCUCUGCAGAUUACCGGUGGCCAUUCGAUGUGGGUUUUCCAAAGUUGAUUGCCAAUUCAGACAUUUUUCCACAGCUUUUAGCCAUCCCAAGAAAUAAUGUGAGCAAUUUCUCUCCAUGGGGGCUAUUCCAAGGUGGAAAGUGUCCAUCUAGCAGGCAUCCAAAAUAACCUUGGGAUUAACUCAUUCCUCAUCUACACCAAAUCCUCGGGGAGAGAAAUGAUUAAAAAAUAGCAUGGUGUCCUAGACGUGGACACAAAUUCCCAAUGGGACCAUUCCCAUUUGGGAGAUGAUGGCGCAUAUAAAGAAGUUUGGUAUAGACAGUCCCAAUUCCUUAGCUGGUAGGGCUUGGGUUUGGAGAAGACACAAAGUCCAAUUCUUUGUGUGCAAAAGAGUGGGAGAGGUCAGGUUUUGAGUGUACUUGUGGAAGCCUAGAGGUUUCUUAGCAUGACUAUUCGCACCUUUCAACGCACAUCAUGUUCCACGGCUAUUGCUUAUUUUUUCUUUCUGUUUUUGUUUUAGAUAAAGGAGAGUGUGUCGGCAGAGCCCGCCUCAUCCAGAACUGAUAAAGGAGAGUGCGUCGGCAGAGCCCGCCUCAUCCAGAACUGAUAAAGGAGAGUGCGUCGGCAGAGCCCGCCUCAUCCAGAACUGAUAAAGGAGAGUGCGUCGGCAGAGCCCGCCUCAUCCAGAAUUGAUAAAGGAGAGUGCGUCGGCAGAGCCCGCCUCAUCCAGAACUGAUAAAGGAGAGUGCGUCGGCAGAGCCCGCCUCAUCCAGAACUGAUAAAGGAGAGUGUCGGCAG